This 468-nucleotide ribosomal RNA is filed under the name uncultured bacterium. Its description in RNAcentral is "partial 16S ribosomal RNA". It matches the Rfam family "Bacterial small subunit ribosomal RNA", at positions 28 to 507 of the family's 1533-position model. The record is from RNAcentral.
GACGAACGCUGGCGGCGUGCUUAACACAUGCAAGUCGAACGGAAAGGCGCUGCUUUUGUGGGGUGCUCGAGUGGCGAACGGGUGAGUAACACGUGAGUAACCUGCCCUUGACUCUGGGAUAACUUCAGGAAACUGGGGCGAAUACCGGAUAGGAGCUCCUGCUGCAUGGGGGGGGUUGGAAAGUUUCGGCGGUUGGGGAUGGACUCGCGGCUUAUCAGCUUGUUGGUGGGGUAGUGGCUUACCAAGGCUUUGACGGGUAGCCGGCCUGAGAGGGUGACCGGCCACAUUGGGACUGAGAUACGGCCCAGACUCCUACGGGAGGCAGCAGUGGGGAAUAUUGCACAAUGGGCGGAAGCCUGAUGCAGCAACGCCGCGUGCGGGAUGACGGCCUUCGGGUUGUAAACCGCUUUCGCCUGUGACGAAGCGUGAGUGACGGUAAUGGGUAAAGAAGCACCGGCUAACUACGUG